UACAGGGGGUGCAAACGUUGCUCGGAAUCAUUGGGCGUAAAGCGCACGUAGGCGGUUCGUUAUGUCGGAUGUGAAAGCCCUUGGCUUAACCGAGGAAGUGCAUCCGAAACUGGCGAGCUAGAGUACUAAAGAGGAUCGCGGAAUUCCCGGUGUAGAGGUGAAAUUCGUAGAUAUCAGGAGGAACACCGGUGGCGAAGGCGGGUCUCUGGGCCGAUACUGACACUGAGAAGCGAAAGCGUGGGGAGCGAACAGG
Molecule: ribosomal RNA, 253 nt
Filed under: uncultured bacterium
Lineage: Bacteria
Description: partial 16S ribosomal RNA
Rfam family: Bacterial small subunit ribosomal RNA
Source: RNAcentral